CUGCUGCCUUCCGUAGGAGUUUGGGCCGUGUCUCAGUCCCAAUGUGGCCGUCCACCCUCUCAGGCCGGCUACUGAUCGUCGCCUUGGUGGGCCGUUACCCCGCCAACAGGCUAAUCAGACGCGGGUCCAUCUUACACCACCGGAGUUUUUCACACAAAUCCAUGCGGCUUCGUGCGCUUAUGCGGUAUUAGCACCUAUUUCUAAGUGUUAUCCCCCAGUGUAAGGCAGGUUACCCACGCGUUACUCACCCGUCCGCCACUAAG
Molecule: ribosomal RNA, 263 nt
Filed under: uncultured bacterium
Lineage: Bacteria
Description: partial 16S ribosomal RNA
Source: RNAcentral